CUACGGGUUGCACCAGUGAGGAAUAUUGCACAAUGGGGGGAACCCUGAUGCAGCAACGCCGCGUGGAGGAUGACGCGUUUCGGUGUGUAAACUCCUUUUAUAUGUCAAGAAAAUGACGGUAGCAUAUGAAUAAACACCGGCUAACUCCGUGCCAGCAGCCGCGGUAAUACGGAGGGUGCAAGCGUUACUCGGGAUCACUGGGCGUAAAGGACGCGUAGGCGGGUUGGAAAGUCAGGUGUGAAAUCCUACAGCUUAACUGUAGAACUGCACUUGAAACUUCUAAUCUAGAGUAUGGGAGGGGGAGAUGGAAUUAGUGGUGUAGGGGUAAAAUCCGUAGAUAUCACUAGGAAUACCUAAAGCGAAGGCGAUCUCCUGGAACAUUACUGACGCUAAGGCGUGAAAGCGUGGGGAGCAAACAGGAUUAGAUACCCUUGUAGUC
RNAcentral lists this ribosomal RNA (439 nucleotides) under uncultured bacterium. Its description in RNAcentral is "partial 16S ribosomal RNA". It matches the Rfam family "Bacterial small subunit ribosomal RNA", at positions 339 to 795 of the family's 1533-position model. The record is from RNAcentral.